RNAcentral lists this unclassified non-coding RNA (3468 nucleotides) under Leishmania donovani. RNAcentral describes it as "gene:unknown". The record is from RNAcentral. Lineage: Eukaryota; Euglenozoa; Kinetoplastea; Trypanosomatida; Trypanosomatidae.
UUCAGUUGCGUUCCUCGCUUGCGGGCGCUUGGAUUCGAUGUGUCUCUCCUUUUUUGGAUUUUGUGUGUUCGUGCUCCUGACUUUUGAGGGCUGCAUGUCUUUAUGCUUUGGUUCGCUCUCCUCUGAGUUGCAUGACACAGCUGCAGAAAACUGGUCUGCUCAUGUGAAUAAUGUGCUGCAGCAUCGUUGACACAAACAUGUGCACAAAACGCGUUUUCCUUUUCUUUGUGUUUUCCACGUGUGCUUGCUUCCCCACGUUAUGCCGCUCACCUCAGCGCGUGGCAUCUCAGGGGGCCACUACACAGCACGGUGGGCGGAAGCCGAGCAGCCCUUCUAUCCCUGUCAAUGCCCUGCCACUUCUGGCGGUGACGCGGCCAAUCACCUACCACGUAGGGGGGAGGUCAGAGCGAUGUAUCGCUACUGAUGUCGGCGCUCGGGUUCUGGAUGGCGUGGCAUCGGAGCGACCUCGCGACAGUGAACACGCUUGUGCCAUCCAUGCGAUUACGCAGAGUGUCAGUGUCACUCGACCGUGUCUCACACGGCCCGGCUGGUGGCUGGGGGGCCUGAGCGCCACGCUGAGAUAUGCGAGACGCGUCGGCCGCCAUGAUGGAGCGGCUGUGAUCCGAUCCUCGAGGCGCGGAGCUGGUGGAUUCGCCUGGAAGCAGAGGCUGCGCUCGCAUAGGUGGGUGGGCACCUUGCUUUAACGCGCGAGCCCACCGCUGCUUUGCACCACGCAACGGAGCCUCUGCCAGGGCCGACGGGGGUGGAGAGACAUCGUGCUUGGUUUGAUCGCGGUCAUAAGACAGCGAACGGAAGCAUUCAACGGAAACAAAUUUUUGUUUGCACCCGUCAUGAUGCUGACUACCAUACUGUGGUGCCAGGGCUCAGUUCCCGCUCUUUGGGGGGGGAGCCAUGGAGUCAUGCAGCCUGCUCUGAGGUACGACUGCGGUCUCUUGGUGUCGGCGGACAAGCCUGUGCUGGCGCUGAGCCGAAGCAACUUGGGGGCAUGAGCACGCUUGGAAACGCUCGCUGCGGUUGUUGUCGAGGAUUCGACCGCUUUGCUUGCACUUCCACUCCUGUCAGAGGCGUGCGGAUACCGGGGAAGGCGAAGCGCCGCUGCCGCCACAGACUCAGGGCAGCGCCCCGCCUGUCGCGGCAGAUGCGGGCAAGGUAUCCAGGCACGCCCCCGGGCAACAACGCCGCCAUGAUGCAGGCACCGUGAUGCGGAAGUGCGAGCAGUGUGCGCCGGCGCUGUCAAGCACCGCUGGCAUGGUGUGUCUGAUGCGAGCAAAGCAUCCAGGGGCCGGCCGAGCACGGGCGAUGGGGGGAGGGGAAGAAGGCGCAUGCAGGGCCAUGCCGAUGCCCCCUCUCCCGCAGUGCAUGUGUGCGGAGCAUGCGGCGUCUCCUGCAUCCGACCGAGUGGGCUGAUGCGGCGCGGACGCCGGGAGGCAUGACGAGGGCACCCGGGACGGCACCACCGAGCCAUCGGGUGUGCACUGCGGAGAGCCGCCACGCCACAUUACGGGAUGCCGCGGUUGGAGCGGACUGGGGGGCGGGCGGGCGAAGCACGGCAUGCAGACAGUGUGUGCCGGGCCUCAGAAGGACCCUGACCCCUGAGGCUUUCGAGGCUCCUCCUUGCGUUCGUGCGGCACGCACCUGGACCGCCCACCCACCACGUGCACGACAGGCGCCGAUCGCGCAGCGGGCACAGGAAGAGUAGGCGAUGAAGGGCAGGGCGAGCGUGCUGGACGCAUGGCGCGAUUCGACGAGCGGGAGAGCCACGUCCCAGGCGACGAGCAUUUAGCCCGAGUGCGACAGAGUUAGGUGAGCGGUGGCUGCAUGCCGAUGCUUGUCGACAUGUUCGUGUUGGGCCGACACACGGCGGAAAGGAAAAGCCAACCUGCAGGCACUCAUCACGUCGACGUGCGCUUAUUUUGCUCUUUACGCUUGUGUGUCUCUGCUUGUGCAUUGUUGACUGGCCUCUUGCUGUUGUGCGCUGCUCUUGUCGCUAUCUGUUGUGUCGGUGUUGGACGUGCAUUUUGCCGGGGUGAGAUGACACCACAUCGUUGUGUUCCUGCCUCUUCGGAGUGGAUUCUUCUCGUUCUGUCCGUCCUUGUGCAUGAGUGCGCGAUUCUGUCUCUCUUUUGCCGACUUCCCUUUUGGUGCAUCACGCGUUUUCGGAAAUGGCCGGUGCUCCUGUCGGUUGCACCGCCUGGGCUCUGUCCGAGUGUUUUUCUCUGCGCCCUUUGGAAUGCUUGUCUUAUGUUGUGUCACACAACAGCUGUACGCUUGGCUGUUGAUGGUUUCGUGGAUGCCCGCCUACGAGGAGCGUUGGGGUCUCCCUGCUGCUGCUGUUUCGUGACUUUGAGCGGCGCUGGUUGCUGGCCUUGUCGCGUAUGCCACUUUUGCGUUGUCUCAUGUGCCGUUUAACAUGCCAUUCGCUGUGUUUAGUGUGUGUUCCCAUUUUGUUCCUUUUCGUGGUCUUGUCGGUUGCCUAUCCUCUCUCUCGGGUGGGCCUGUCCGUGUUGAUGGAUGCGCGUCCUGUGUGCCUGUGUGUGUGUGUGUGCUUGAGGAGCGUCCCUUCAUAUUUUUUUUUCGCCUCCGAAAGGCUGUUCGGUGAGCAUGUGAGACUAGCUCGAAUAGGCGACAUGUGUAAAGAUUUUGUGAUCGUUUGUUAUCCGUAUUUGUGAGAUGCGAACACCAUGGUGACAGCCACUACUACCACGACCACCAAUAUCUCCCCUCGCCGUUUUCUACUCCGAGUGCUUUCUUCUGUUGCUUCGUCGUUGCCAUGUGUGGCUUUGGCGUUACGCCUACUCCUGUGCAUCUGUGGUGCUUUUUUCGCUGGGUCCAGUCUCCACUUCGCUCUCUACCUCACUGUAUCCAUUCUGUUUUCGCUGCUCGUCCCUGCGCUUUUCUACUCAAAUACCAGACCAGCUGUGAUGUUGUAGCGGGGGCGCGCACGCUCAUAUCGCGCCGAGAAGGAAUCUCGAGCGAACGAGCAUCAGCCAUGGUGUGAGGGACAGCGCCACAGACGCUACCGUGGGACUGGUUUCCUCAAACUUCGCCUGUCUUCUCAUGCUGACGGACGUGCGACUCAACGGUGAUGAAAAUGCUAUACUUUCACAGCUUCCCCCCUUCCGGCUUCUCCGCACGCACAUGUGUGCAGGCAAUGGCACAGAAAGCGCUUGCCAUCCAGGAGCAUGCUUGGCCAACUGCGUGCGCAUGCGAGGCUCGGAAAGGGGGUUCGACAGUGCAGUUCGCUGACACUUGAACUUUUCGUCUUCUCAUCUGAUUUGUGUCUUCCCCCCCCCUCCACUCGCCCAACGGCCAUGUUGGACUCUCUCUCUUCCGCCUUCUUUCUCUCACCUGCGCGACUCACGUCAUUAUGGGGCGCGCCUUCUUUUGGACUCGUUUGUGUCCGUCUUUGGCGCUGUCUCUCGUGCGUCUCUAUGCGUCUGAACCCAG